AUUGAACGCUGGCGGCAGGCCUAACACAUGCAAGUCGAACGGUAACAGGAAACAGCUUGCUGUUUCGCUGACGAGUGGCGGACGGGUGAGUAAUGUCUGGGAAACUGCCUGAUGGAGGGGGAUAACUACUGGAAACGGUAGCUAAUACCGCAUAACGUCGCAAGACCAAAGAGGGGGACCUUCGGGCCUCUUGCCAUCGGAUGUGCCCAGAUGGGAUUAGCUAGUAGGUGGGGUAACGGCUCACCUAGGCGACGAUCCCUAGCUGGUCUGAGAGGAUGACCAGCCACACUGGAACUGAGACACGGUCCAGACUCCUACGGGAGGCAGCAGUGGGGAAUAUUACACAAUGGGCGCAAGCCUGAUGCAGCCAUGCCGCGUGUAUGAAGAAGGCCUUCGGGUUGUAAAGUACUUUCAGCGGGGAGGAAGGGAGUAAAGUUAAUACCUUUACUCAUUGACGUUACCUGCAGAAGAAGCACCGGCUAACUCCGUG
This 490-nucleotide ribosomal RNA is filed under the name uncultured bacterium. RNAcentral's name for it is "partial 16S ribosomal RNA". It matches the Rfam family "Bacterial small subunit ribosomal RNA", at positions 30 to 507 of the family's 1533-position model. The record is from RNAcentral.